GGAAAAGGCCGCAUAAGCGGCCUU
RNAcentral lists this small RNA (24 nucleotides) under Pantoea ananatis. The record is from RNAcentral. Lineage: Bacteria; Pseudomonadati; Pseudomonadota; Gammaproteobacteria; Enterobacterales; Erwiniaceae.